RNAcentral lists this transfer RNA (57 nucleotides) under Zootermopsis nevadensis. It matches the Rfam family "tRNA", at positions 9 to 63 of the family's 71-position model. From Rfam's summary of the family: Transfer RNA (tRNA) molecules are approximately 80 nucleotides in length. Lineage: Eukaryota; Metazoa; Arthropoda; Insecta; Blattodea; Termopsidae. The record is from Rfam by way of RNAcentral.
GGUCUAGCGGUCAGAACACUAGCCUUGUAAGCCUGGAGUCCCGGGUUCAAUUCCCGG